This 603-nucleotide long non-coding RNA is filed under the name Parus major (Great Tit). RNAcentral describes it as "lncRNA (ENSPMJG00000014295.1)". The record is from RNAcentral. Lineage: Eukaryota; Metazoa; Chordata; Aves; Passeriformes; Paridae.
AUGGACGAAAGAACAGGACAGGACCGAGGCCUUGCCCUCUCAUGUUGUCACCAACUUGACAGCCCAGCAGAUGUGUCCAGGGCAGACACGUUCCCAUUCCAGAGGCAUUGGAACCACUGGCACUUCCAGCAUGGAUGUUUUGAUUCCCACCUCUGUGGCCACGGCCCUGAUCACAUAUUCUCACAGCAGUCAACAGCUCGAGGGCUCACAGAUAACUCCUCUUACCUUCUCCUCACGUGGCUGGUACUGUUAAACACAGUCCUGGUGAUCGGGUGCCUGGCCUGUUAUAGAUCUCUUGUUUGCUGCGAGAUGAGGAGCUAUAAAGCUGCUGGGAUCAAAUCUACAGAGGACAAAUUUACUUUGCUGGGGGACCAAGUAAAAUCGAAAUCUGCCCACCUGAAAAGCCUGCAGUGUUGGGGGAAGAGCACGUGCUUGGGGUCAGGGCAAAGAGAAGCACCUGGAGCAAGGGGAAGCUGUGGUUUCAAAAUCGCACCUCUGAUCUGCAGUAGCUCCUGGCCUUGGGGAAGGAUGUCACUCAGGGGUGUCCUUUGGGGAACAGGGGUACACAGAAGCAGUGCCCAGGGAACUCACACUCCAGAAUGA